RNAcentral lists this long non-coding RNA (295 nucleotides) under Drosophila guanche. The record is from RNAcentral. Lineage: Eukaryota; Metazoa; Arthropoda; Insecta; Diptera; Drosophilidae.
GGCAUUUCAUUGCACUUAUUUCAGUGUGUGUUUGAGUUUAUUUUUCUUUUUAAUCGAAUCUCUUAACUCGAGCAGCAGUCGCUGUCUCGCUUUCACCCGCUGAAUGGAUGGUGGGAUGGUCGCCAAACGGCAGUCGAAAGCAUUGCCAGAUCCACUCAAAAGAUACCACGCACUCGUAAUAGAUCCGACCAUGAGAGGAGGCACUUAGGUGAGAGGGGGUGAGAGGGGGUGGAGAGGGGGGAGUGCCAUUUGGAGAGUCAGCUUUCUCAGUUACCGAAAACGCCGUUGUUUGCUG